GGUAGAUCCUACGUGUUUAUGUUUUGAAUUCUGAUUAAGACUUGGGCAAAAAUUUCCCCAUUCUAGAAUAUUUCAUGCAGGAGAGAAGACAAAGUUCAUCUAUAGCCCCUGCGCACUUCUUAAUAAAUAUUAAAUUAAUUGAGUUAACCAACAAAAUCAUCCUGAUGAAGCCAUCCUUCUGUCUCUUCAUCAUGCCAACAAGCUUGUUUUCGUUGCUCUUGUUGUGUAAUCUUAUAGCAUUUUCUAACUCUUUUUCUUCAUCUAC
RNAcentral lists this unclassified non-coding RNA (265 nucleotides) under Hevea brasiliensis (rubber tree). The record is from RNAcentral. Lineage: Eukaryota; Viridiplantae; Streptophyta; Magnoliopsida; Malpighiales; Euphorbiaceae.